This 280-nucleotide ribosomal RNA is filed under the name Lachnospiraceae bacterium. RNAcentral's name for it is "partial 16S ribosomal RNA". It matches the Rfam family "Bacterial small subunit ribosomal RNA", at positions 1 to 251 of the family's 1533-position model. The record is from RNAcentral. Lineage: Bacteria; Bacillati; Bacillota; Clostridia; Lachnospirales; Lachnospiraceae.
UUUUUUAGAGAGUUUGAUCCUGGCUCAGGAUGAACGCUGGCGGCGUGCUUAACACAUGCAAGUCGAACGGAGUUAUCAUUUUUGAAGCGAUCAGCUUGCUGAGAGUGGAAAUGUUGAUAACUUAGUGGCGGACGGGUGAGUAACGCGUGGGUAACCUGCCAUAUACAGGGGGAUAACACUUAGAAAUAGGUGCUAAUACCGCAUAAGCGCACGGUGCUGCAUGGCACAGUGUGAAAAACUGAGGUGGUAUAUGAUGGACCCGCGUCUGAUUAGCUGGUUG